RNAcentral lists this long non-coding RNA (3315 nucleotides) under Mus musculus (house mouse). Its description in RNAcentral is "long non-coding RNA chr3:9628206-9631521". Lineage: Eukaryota; Metazoa; Chordata; Mammalia; Rodentia; Muridae. The record is from RNAcentral.
GCAAAAAAGCCAUGGCCUGUCACUGUCCUGAAUUGUGUCCUUGGUGAUGACGUGUAUCAGCCGUUGCAGGAGAACCACGUGGAAUUACUACCCCCUUCCCUCUCUGCAGGUUAAGCUGAAGAAGUGUUAAUAAAGUAAUCUGUAUGAAUGCCAAAGUCCUGUUUACAGUACUGUCCAGAGUUAUGCAGGAUGGCACUUUGGAAGCUAAAGAAUAUAUAGGAUCUCUCUGUGUUCUUACAAGUGCCUAAGGGUCUACAGUGAACGUACACGUCUGGAAGGAAGUGCGACAGAGAGGCCAGGUCCGGUUGCCAGCGGACUGCAGAGUUCUGGAUGGCUGUGGAAGGGCAUCACAAGUUUACAGGAUCCACCUUUCUCGCAAAAGAAGAGAACACAGGAAAGUGCUAUGUGAAAGUCCUUUUCCUUCUGGCCCAAAAUGAUGCUGUUAGAAGAACAUCUUCUUUUACCAAGUCAUAAAUGCUUGAAGGCUCAUCAACCAGAUGCUGAAAGCAAUACUAACAGUUGUUGACAUUUAUUGAGUGCUGCCACAUGCCAGUCUCUUUGCAUGAGUUGUCACAGCCGAUGCUCUUGAUGGUCCUUUGGACGGGUGCCGUGAUGACGUUUGUUUUACACGAGAGCAAGGCAUGAAGAGAUUUAAGAAAACACUAGAAACAGCAGAGACUGUAUUUGAUGUGUUCAGGGACAAAAAUCAGUGCCAAGAUUGCAUGCUCACCCUGUCCAUGGCAAACUGCCCUGGAGCCUCUCUGUGUGUUUGUGGGUGUCAGGGUGCGCAUGUGCAUGUGAGUGGUGUGUGCAGGUACGCACUGGGGUGGGGGGAAGGUCGGUCAGAGGAUAACCAACUGUGUCAUUCCUUAAGCGCUGUACACCCCCUUCCUGAGGGUUUCUUACUGGAGGGACUCGUUCCCACCUGUCUCUUCCUCUGAGCCCUGGUAUUGUAAGAUGUGUUCCGGGAAUCAAAUUCCAUUAUGUUGUAAGACAAGCACUAUACUUGAUAGACAAGUUAUCUCCCCAGCCUGAGCUUCUCCCCACCAUACUAUUAUCUCUAGAAGGUUCUUGACCAACUUUUGACAUACCACAUUUGUUUAUUGUGUACUUACUAAACGUCAGGCACCUUGCAUGGGCUUUCACACUAAUCCUUCCCAGUGAGUCUGGAUGUAUUGUAUUUGUGGGCACUUUGGAGAGGUGUCACACAACCGUGUAUGCGGGAACAGUGACAGUGUUCAGGUGAGCAGCUCUGACUUCUUGCUUCCUGCUCAAAAACCGGCAGCCUCAAAGCCAUUGAAUUUCUCUCUCCAGACUAGAUGUUCCUGCCUCUGCCAGGCCAGCGUCUGGUAGUCUGGUGUGCACAAGCUCCAUCUUGAUCUUUCACUUUACAGGGAGCAUCUUGAGGGCUGUCCUUGCUAUGCUCAGGUACUGGGGACUCAGAGCAAGUACAAUUCUAUGUUUAAAAAGCCCUCACUAAUGACAUUUGGCUCGUAGAAUCUGGAGGAAAUAAUCGGCACCUCUGACAGAGAUGUCUUUCACCUUUGGUGUGACUUCUGAGCACCUGAUACGGCAUUGAGGACUUUAAUGGCCAUCUCUGGCCCUGCCUGGAAAUAAGGGAACACAGUCUGCAAUCAAAGCUGGUGGUAAGUAGUCAGGAGCCUCUUGCCAGGGCAACUUCUGGCUGGCUGAUGGCUGGGGUGGUAUUAUGGAUUCUUUCUGCUUUCUCUUUUCUGCUGGAGCUUUUCCCGGCAGCCGCUCCGUGUCCGGGUUUUGGGGGCACCUUGUGAUUGCGGGUCAAGGAGCAGCCAGUAAAUAAGCGGGGCGCAGCCAGCCAGCCUGGCUUCCCAGCCCAGCCUGGAGCUGCUAGAUAUUCUGUACGGCAAGCUAGAAUUUGGCGCCACAACUGGAAGUGCGGCUUUUGUUCACAGCAAAAACAAGGUUUGACUGGCUCUGUUCCCGCGCUGCCCGCCCAGGCAGGCAGGAAGGAACCUCAGCAAGCGUCUGUCUGUGAGCUGCCUUUAGCACUGACCAUGUCCCAGCCACCGCACUAGGAUGUGCGUCCCAGCCACACCAGACACUGGCCAGAAGGAACGCAGAGUGCAACAGAUGCUCAGGACAGCAUUAGUGUGGGUGGAAAGCACAUUGCUGCUGGCAACUAGGGCGUUUUCAACACUUGUCAUCCAAGUAGGAAAAGUUGUUCCCAUCCAUGACUCAAAGGCCACCUUCCACCUGGACCAAGUUAGAACACGGAUUUCUUUAUUCCAGGAGGGAAAUUCUGGCAUUAUUUAGUGUAAGAGUUCAUCCAGCUUUGCAGACCCUAAUUAUGAAUAGAUUCACUGCUGUUGGCUUAAUUUUUUUAGGGAAGAAAAAGAGCAUUUAUGUACUGUGCACAUGUGAAACAACCUGCCAGAGCCUGUCCUCUGCUUUCCCAUGCAUCUUGGUAGCAAGUGCUGCACCUGCUGCGCCACCUCACAGGCCCUAGUUUAAUUUUCCAAUGCCAGGAUGCAUGGAACACAUUUACACCCAGUCACACGCCACUUGGAGAAAAGUCAUAGUUGAAUUCCAAAGCCAGGUAGGUUAGAAGUGAGUCUCGUCACUUCAGAAAGGACUUUUGGAGUCUUGAAGUAACAGCAGCGGGGAUGUCUCAAGUCUUGCAGUUAAAAUUUAAUUCUUUAAACUUUAAUUCUUUUAUAUGUGCUCUCUCUCUCUCUCUCUCUCUCUCUCUCUCUCUCUCUCUCUCUCUCUGUGUGUGUGUGUGUGUGUGUGUGUGUGUGUGUGUAGAAGAGGGCAGCAGAUCUCCCAGUCUUUGAGUAAGAGAUGUUUGGGAGAUGAAAAUGGGUGCUGGAAUUGAAUCCAGGUCCCCUGGGAGAGCCGCCAGUGCUUUUAAACACUCAUCUCUCCAACCCCAUUUUAAUUUAAUUGUACAUGUGUAAGUCUGUCAAUGUCUCUGUGUGAAUAGACAUGUGAGUGGCUAAAGUGAGAGGCAUUAGAUUCCCCAUGAGCUGGAGUUAAAGGGAAUUUUGAACUGUGGAAGGUGGGUGAUGGGAACCAAACCCCUGUCUUCUGCAAGAGCAGCCCAUACCCUUAAUGACUGCACCAUCACUCCAGCUGGGAUUUCCUUCCUGCAGUCUUGCUAGAGUAAAAACACUAUUGAAGAAAUAAGGAGACUGAAAAGAUCGAUUUUGAAAACUUAGCGUCAAAUAUUUCUGUUUUGAGCUUAAUUACUCCUAUCCUGAAAGUACAUUUUCAGAAAUGGGGGUUACUAGAAAUAACUGAAUUAAAUAUGGCCAGUAUGACCAAGGAAUUGAAUUU